Molecule: ribosomal RNA, 547 nt
Filed under: uncultured Glomeraceae
Lineage: Eukaryota; Fungi; Glomeromycota; Glomeromycetes; Glomerales; Glomeraceae
Description: SSU rRNA
Rfam family: Eukaryotic small subunit ribosomal RNA
Source: RNAcentral
UUGGAGGGCAAGCCUGGUGCCAGCAGCCGCGGUAAUUCCAGCUCCAAUAGCGUAUAUUAAAGUUGUUGCAGUUAAAAAGCUCGUAGUUGAAUUUCGGGAUCAAUAUGUUGGUCGUGCCUUGGUACGUACUAGUUUAUUGGUUUCUUCCUUCUGACGAACCAUGAUGUCAUUAAUUUGGUGUCUUGGGGAAUCAGGACUGUUACUUUGAAAAAAUUAGAGUGUUUAAAGCAGGCUAACGCUUGAAUACAUUAGCAUGGAAUAAUGAAAUAGGACGUUCGACCCUAUUUUGUUGGUUUCUAGGAUCGACGUAAUGAUUAAUAGGGAUAGUUGGGGGCAUUAGUAUUCAAUUGUCAGAGGUGAAAUUCUUGGAUUUAUUGAAGACUAACUACUGCGAAAGCAUUUGCCAAGGAUGUUUUCAUCAAUCAAGAACGAAAGUUAGGGGAUCGAAGACGAUCAGAUACCGUCGUAGUCUUAACCAUAAACUAUGCCGACUAGGGAUCGGAUGAUGUUAAUUUUUUAAUGACUCAUUCGGCGCCUUACGGGAAAC